CUCUUACUCCCUCCGUUUGGAAUUACUUGUCACAAAAAUGGAUGUAUCUAUAACUAAAAUACAUCUAGAUACAUUCAUUUCUUGGACGAGUAAUUCCGAACGGAGGGAGUACGUC
Molecule: non-coding RNA, 115 nt
Organism: Triticum aestivum (bread wheat)
Lineage: Eukaryota; Viridiplantae; Streptophyta; Magnoliopsida; Poales; Poaceae
Source: Rfam